This 75-nucleotide transfer RNA is filed under the name Mycobacterium dioxanotrophicus. RNAcentral describes it as "tRNA-Val". It matches the Rfam family "tRNA". From Rfam's summary of the family: Transfer RNA (tRNA) molecules are approximately 80 nucleotides in length. Their secondary structure includes four short double-helical elements and three loops (D, anti-codon, and T loops). Lineage: Bacteria; Bacillati; Actinomycetota; Actinomycetes; Mycobacteriales; Mycobacteriaceae. The record is from RNAcentral.
GGUCUCGUAGCUCAGCGGGAGAGCGCCGCGCCUACAACGCGGAUGUCGGGGGUUCGAAACCCUCCGGGACCACCA